RNAcentral lists this ribosomal RNA (465 nucleotides) under uncultured bacterium. RNAcentral describes it as "partial 16S ribosomal RNA". It matches the Rfam family "Bacterial small subunit ribosomal RNA", at positions 28 to 507 of the family's 1533-position model. The record is from RNAcentral.
GACGAACGCUGGCGGCGUGCUUAACACAUGCAAGUCGAACGGAAAGGCCCUGCUUGCAGGGUACUCGAGUGGCGAACGGGUGAGUAACACGUGGGUGAUCUGCCCUUCACUUCGGGAUAAGCCUGGGAAACUGGGUCUAAUACCGGAUAGGAGCCAGUUUUAGUGGGAUGGUUGGAAAGUUUUUUCGGUGUAGGAUGAGCUCGCGGCCUAUCAGCUUGUUGGUGGGGUAAUGGCCUACCAAGGCGGCGACGGGUAGCCGGCCUGGGAGGGUGGACGGCCACAUUGGGACUGAGAUACGGCCCAGACUCCUACGGGAGGCAGCAGUGGGGAAUAUUGCCCAAUGGGCGCAAGCCUGAUGCAGCGACGCCGCGUGGGGGAUGACGGCCUUCGGGUUGUAAACUCCUUUCGCUAGGGACGAAGCUUUUUGUGACGGUACCUAGAUAAGAAGCACCGGCUAACUACGUG